UCUCCGUUGGUGAACCAGCGGAGGGAUCAUUACAGGACUCGCAAGACUCCUACACCCCUGUGAACUUAACUAUAAGCACGUUGCUUCGGCGGGUGUCUCUCAGGGGGUUCUCCCUCCCGAGACGCUAAACCCGCCGGCAGCCUACUAUACUCUGUCUCUUUGCGUUGGCAUCUCGAGUACAAUCAAACAAGUUAAAACUUUCAACAACGGAUCUCUUGGUUCUG
Molecule: unclassified non-coding RNA, 224 nt
Filed under: plant metagenome
Description: partial contains small subunit ribosomal RNA, internal transcribed spacer 1, and 5.8S ribosomal RNA
Source: RNAcentral